RNAcentral lists this ribosomal RNA (497 nucleotides) under uncultured bacterium. Its description in RNAcentral is "partial 16S ribosomal RNA". It matches the Rfam family "Bacterial small subunit ribosomal RNA", at positions 28 to 507 of the family's 1533-position model. The record is from RNAcentral.
GAUGAACGCUGGCGGCGUGCCUAAUACAUGCAAGUCGAGCGAACAGACGAGGAGCUUGCUCCUCUGACGUUAGCGGCGGACGGGUGAGUAACACGUGGAUAACCUACCUAUAAGACUGGGAUAACUUCGGGAAACCGGAGCUAAUACCGGAUAAUAUAUUGAACCGCAUGGUUCAAUAGUGAAAGACGGUUUUGCUGUCACUUAUAGAUGGAUCCACGCCGCAUUAGCUAGUUGGUAAGGUAACGGCUUACCAAGGCGACGAUGCGUAGCCGACCUGAGAGGGGGAUCGGCCACACUGGAACUGAGACACGGUCCAGACUCCUACGGGAGGCAGCAGUAGGGAAUCUUCCGCAAUGGGCGAAAGCCUGACGGAGCAACGCCGCGUGAGUGAUGAAGGUCUUCGGAUCGUAAAACUCUGUUAUUAGGGAAGAACAAAUGUGUAAGUAACUAUGCACGUCUUGACGGUACCUAAUCAGAAAGCCACGGCUAACUACGUG